GACUCUUGGACACUCUCCAACCUGGAGACGCAGGCACAUGAGGGCCACUCCUGGAUGGGGACUCAGCGAUUCUUGGAAUGCGCCGAGUCCUUGAUCAGCGUGAGUGCCUCUGCCUGGAAGGCUGGCCAGCUGCCCCUAUCCUGCUCCCUGCCCCUCUGCUUGACCCUCUGAGCUUUGGGGCCUCCUCCUGGAAGCCUUCCUGCCCUCCCCAGAGCUGGGUUUUGGGCCUCUCCUCGCUCUCCUGGAUCCCUGGAUCCCAGAGCCUAGAUGCCCAGCGUCGGCAUGACCUGGAGGUGGGGCAGGAGACACGGGCCAGCUGACUCACUGCCGUCCUGAGCUGGCGCCUGGCUGCCUCCGGCUGUGGUCAGUGGGUAUAUUUGUUGGCUUAAUGGAUCGAACUAGGCAGUGGAAGAAAGGGUGACCUUCUAGCCCUGGGCCUGGGCUGGGGAGGAUGGCCGAGCCGGAAGCUCAGCGUUGAGCAGGGUUUCUGUGCCUCGCACCCCUGCUCUCACCCCCGGGCGGCGGAGUGGGCAGAAUCCAGAGCCUCACCCAGAGACUGGAGUGGACGCCUGGCAUGGCUGGGGUCUGCAUCCCAGCCAGCUGGCCAGUCCUCCUGCGGCCCGCUCAGCAGGGAGACCCCCUGCCUCGAUGGAGAGGAGGGGGCUGCUGGGGGCCAGCCGGCACCACUGGUGUGGCCUUCUGCCCAGGGCUUUCUCUCUGGUGCGCCCUGGCCCCCAAGGACUGAGUCAGUUCACAGCAGGCCAACAGUGACUCUGCACCCCAGGCACACCCCCAUCCAGACCUUGUUCUGACCUGAUUUCCUGUCCCACCCCAGAGACUUCCUGUAGCCAGGACAGCACACUCGGCCCAUCUGAUGACGGACAUUAUUUCUGGAAGCUACGUCCACCUGUCAGGUCCCUUCCUGGGACCUGGGUCUCUUUUCGGAGCUGCAGGUGCAUCUGUGCCUACCCCCAGCUCUGGGUAACUUGAUGCCUGAGGACAUGGAACAUGCUGGAGCUUCCACAUGUGGCCAGCCGCCUCUGACCCACUGGCCAGAGUCCAUGUGUCACCGGCACCUGACUCUGGGGGAGCACGCGCCCCCCCAUGCUCUGGCAGAGCAAGGGUGCCCUGCUCCCCGCCCGGGCUGGCACAGAGCAAGCCCCCGCCUCUUGUCAGGAAGCAGAGCUCAGAGACUGGAUGGGCAGACCUUGAGUGAGCUCUGCUGGGAGCAGGAAGGCAGGCGUGGGCGUCUCUCAGAGAGCAGUCUCCUUGCCUGACGCGUGAUGCGGAGGUGAAAACCAGGACAGUCCCGAGAGCGGUGGGUGGGCCCCUGUGAGCCCAGGGGGACCCUCUGGGGCCCCCAGAGACCCUGGGCAGCAGCCUGGACUGCAGUUUCACUUCCCCGGACAGGCACCCAGAGUGAUCUUUAUUGCUUUCAUUUUGAAACCUUUUUCCUUCUGUUUCCUUUCUGGGAUGGCCUGAGAUGACCUCGGACACUGCUACACAAUGGAGUUAGCAAAAGCAUGCCUGGCCACCGACCCACUCAGCCACGGUCCACCCACCCACCCAGCCCUCCAGCCACACACCUGUCCGUCUGUCGUCGGUCCAACCGCCUCCCUACCCACCGGCCCGCCCGCCGGUGCCCCCACUCACACACCCAGCGGUCUGUCCACACACCUGCUUCAGCUAGUUCUACCUGAUUUGCUGUGGGAGUGGCUGGGACGUGCCUCCCGGGAGCAGACCUGUGUCAGGAGACUCCCUCCAGGGCCCGGUUGCAGAGCGGCUGGCCGGGGCUCGGCGCGAGCGAGUCAGUGCGGCCGGAUCCUUGAACAACACGGGCUUGAACUGGCGGGUCCGCGUAGACGCCGGGUGUCUCCCAGUGAAUGUGGUCCGGUGCUGUGAACGUAUUCUCCCUAAGAUUUUCUUGGUUACACGUUCUUUUCUCUGACUUUUUCUAUGGCGAAAAUACAGCGUGUAACACAGCGCGCACAAUGUGUGUUAACUGAUGGCUUGUGUUUUGGGGGGUCAAGUUCUGGGGGAGUUAAAAGUGACGUGUUUUUCGACUGUGCGGGGGGGCAGGUCAGCAUUGGUGUCAGAGUCAGCUCUACGUGGAAUACGGCGUCUCUAACCAGAAACACGCAUGGCACCAUGUCGUGUGUUGACGAGCUGGUAACAUGCGGGCCAGAUGCAGGCCGACCUUGACCCUGGGUCCCCUGGAGGCGAAUUCGUGGUUUAUGGUGACCAGAGACCACCACGGCCAUGCCCUCGGGCUGCCGAGACUGUGGCCACCCCACUGCUGGGGGCAGCACAGGGGCACCUGCUCUCCGCUGUCCUCUGCACCCGCAGGCCGAGGUGCUGAGCUGCACGGAGGCUGGGACAGGCUGCCCCGGGGCUCCCCUGCCUUCCUCGGGGGCCACAGCUGGCCAGGGAAGGUCUAGACACACAAGCAGGAUGGGCAGCCCUGGUCCCGGGAACUGGGGGGAGGGAGUAAUUGGGGGCACACCAGAUGGAGUCCCCGCGGGGAAUCUUUAGGGCUUUGAGGGUGAGGAGGCCUCUGGCCCCAAGACCGGGGUGUGCAGCAGGCAGGACCUUUCCCACUUGGCCUGCCCUUGGCCUUGAAGCUGCAGAUUCAAGGGUGGGUCUUUUCUGUCUAGAGAGGCAGGGCUGGGAGCAAGGGAGGAGGGAGAGGUCUCAGGGAGGCGUGGAGGGCGGGGAGAGGGCGUCUCGGCCGCUGUGUUGGGCUCUCCCUGGUGUUCUUAGAGAGAUGGGGACCAAGUCUGGAGUUCCUUGCCAGUGGUUUUUGGCUCCUGAACUGUGUUUCUUAGAGACACGGUGCCAAGCCUGGGCCUCGUAGGUCUUAAAGGUUUUAUUUUAGGGAAGGAGGCUGCCACACAGUGUUUAUGAGUGGGAUCGCGGCCGGCGCCUGCCUCCCUCUGACCCGCCCCUUGGCCUUCAGCCCUGCUCUGGGCGCCCCCAGCCCCGUAGCCACCUGUCGUCCCAGAACAACCCGAGUUCAGAUCCGGGCUCCGUGCUCUUCCCGCCAUCCCUGAGUGAGGCACUGGGCCUCCUCACCUUUGUGGAAAAGAACCCCCUUGCCCCUAAGCUGUCCUAUGGAUGGACUUGACAGAUUCAGUCCAAGGUGUGGGAAGGGGCUCCUUGGGCCCCCGCUGGCCUGCUCCACUCCCAAAGCCUCCAUGCCCCCAGGUCGCUGCUCCCAGCCCCGGCCCCUGCCCCAGCCCCUGCCCCAGCCCCCUGUACCUUCCUGAGCGCCCAGCAGGGCCCAGCAUGUACCCGGUACAGCAGGCGGAGGUUUAACGGCUAAAAAUAACCCAAAAGCUCAAACGGCAAUGUGGCCCUCCUGCAGACCCCGGCCUUGCCAGUUUCUAGGGUGCUGGCUCUGCAGGGGUGGCCCCCACCCCGGGCUGCCCUGGUGCCCCUCCCUCCCAGCUCCCUCUGGCCCUUCGUGGGCUGCCCCCGCUCUGCCUCUCCCCACACGCCCGUCCCAGGGAGGGUCACUGUCCUUCCUGCUCUCCCGCUGAACUUGGACUCAGGCUUGUGUGUGAUUAAUCUGUGGUUUCCAGACCAGGUGUGGCCGAGGGGGUUCGGUGGGGGGGGUCUGGGUGGGCUUGCCCUGUCCUAGCUCUGCAGGGGUGCCUCGCGCGGGCUGUCCCGGUGAUGUGGUGUGGACUCCGGGCUCUCCUGGCUCAGUGUGCCUCCCUCUCCAGGAAGUCCUUUUGGGUCUCCUCAGGCGGCACCCCGUUUCCUUUAAUCUGCCCAUUCCUUACUGCUUUGGCCAUGUUUUUUUAAAAUCAGUUGGAAAUCUAACUCUGACUGGAUGGGCCGAGCGCUGGCAGAGGUCGGCCCCUGGCAGGUGGUCUCCGGGUGCACAGCCGUGCCCUCUGCCAAGUCGGGGCAGCCGGCUGUUGGGGGAGCACCUGCCCGAGCCCUUCUGUAGCUGGUCCUUCCAGACGUGUCCCCAGCCCACCCCGGCCCAGCCGGGAGCAGCCAACACCACAUCGAGUCCACGGAGACGAGGGACGCGCGGCACCAGACUCCCUGCCCGUGGCUGUCACGAGGAUGUCCUUUGUCUUUUUCCCAUUUUAAAUCAUCGUUCACUUACUGAGCACAGAUGACUUCAUGAGGUCCUGACUCAAAGCCUGCGCAGGGGGGCCGGGGGGUCCUUCCUACUUUAGCUUCGCGGGCGCCCGUCACACCCUCCCUGCCGGCAGCUGGAGCCUUUUCUUUGUGCAUUCCGGGUUCUGGAUGGCCGGCGUGGGCCCUGCCCAGCCCCCAUGUUUGCUCUCCGGGCACAGGGCCUGGCUGGGACGCCUGCCAGGGGAUGUUUGCUGAGUGAGUGCGUCAGCCUGUAGCUCCAUUUCCACAGGGUGGGGGGCCCGUGGGUCGGCUGCUGUCUGAGGGAACCCCGAAGGCUGUGCCUCCGUCCUCCAGCCCGGAACCCUCCCCUCCCCAUGUGCAGUCUCUCCUCUGCGGGUUCCCCGUGGUCCAGACCCAUCUUCCGCGUGCUGGGCCCUGUGAGGGUUAGGCCCCCGCAGGAGAGCGUCUCUGGGCUCCCGGGCUGAUUCAGUGCUGGUUGGGGGACCCUGCUGACCCCAGCUAGCAGAGCCUGGACUCUGUCCUCCCCCCUUGUACUGGCUAAGAGGUGGCCAAGUCCUUCUCCCAAAGCUGCUCAGGCCUGAAUUGUCCCCCGCCUCCCUGGAGUGGCCCCUGGUUGGAGGAAGGGCGGGGCGAGUAGGGGGAGGGGCAGGCGGGUUUGGGAGUGGGGGUUGCGGAGGUCUGGGUGGGGCAGCAUUGCCUUCUGACGCCACCGGCAUGACGGCAUGACCCCAUGCAGAGGAGUGUAGCCCACAGGCCGCAUUCCAGAAGUCGGCCUGCCCUAGGGCCCUGUGGACGGCGGGCAGUGGCCCCCUGGUACAGCCCGGGAGCACCGGGCCCAGAUGCAGGCUCUGCGCGCAUACGCUGCCAGGUCCUGGUCAGGAACCCUGGCCGCUUGGGGCCCCAGGAGAGACCAGCCCAGGGCUGCGGGAGGGCCACCGGCAAGGAAGUGCCCGCUGCGGCCUGGGAUUUCGGGACCAGG
Mustela erminea (ermine) is the source of this 5095-nucleotide long non-coding RNA. RefSeq lists it as uncharacterized. The transcript is spliced from 4 exons. The record is from RefSeq and is a predicted model, not a curated record. Lineage: Eukaryota; Metazoa; Chordata; Mammalia; Carnivora; Mustelidae.